GCAACCUACCUCAGCAAGUUUAAAGAGCUUAGACAUUGUAUCAAGAGUGGCACAUUGUCGUGAAUAAUCCAGGAAUAUGCCAUCAAACUCGUUGCAUAAACCCCAAAUGAAAAGAAAUCAUCACCCUCUUAGCUCUAAAAGUUAAUAAUCAAUGAAGAAUCACAUAGUUCUUAUCUAUAAAGAACAGAUGGAGUAAUUUACAACUAGAGAUGACAAUUCUUUAAAAUAUUCAAGUAAACUUUUUAAUCUAACAGAUUCCAAAAAGACCCAACAAUCAGAACGUAUGAUCCACAAUCAAUAACAUUAUUCCAAAAUAAUCCCAACAAUCAGAAAGUGCGAUUCCAUUUAAUAGAUUGACAAUCGAUUUUUUCAGAACGAAAACUAAAAGAUGUGAAACUGAGGAGGGAACUAUACCUGUAAACAAGUCAAAUGACUCAUAGGAGGGAACAGUACAUGUAAACCAGUUAAGCAAACAAAAAGUGUGAUGUUAAGCAGUUUAGAAAGGAAGAACGAGAACGAGAAACGAAUUCCACCUUCUAGACGAGAAGCGGACCUACGAACCUGCAGUUGGUUCUUUUCAGCAACAGUAUUUGAUUAAUGGGAAGCUGAUUGGAGUUGGUGUGAUUGAUAUUCUUCUUCCUAAAUGUUAAUCCAGUAAAUAAAUUGGGUGAGAGAGAAACAAGAGCUGCAUGCAGAGUAGAAGUAACAAAUGAUUUUUGAAACAUCGGUGAUUUCGGAAACAAAACACGAGCAAGAGGUCAGAACAUACCUUAUCGAACAGAGAUGCAUAGCGCAACGAGAACUGCAGGCAGAGGUGCUGACCUGUUGCGUCUGGUGCUUUACUUAGUUGUUGACAAUUGCUUUUAAAUGAAGUAUGAACGAGAACGACAGAGAAAUGAUAAUGGAAAAAACAAAC
RNAcentral lists this long non-coding RNA (916 nucleotides) under Lactuca sativa (garden lettuce). RNAcentral describes it as "long non-coding RNA (LSAT_LNC008241)". The record is from RNAcentral. Lineage: Eukaryota; Viridiplantae; Streptophyta; Magnoliopsida; Asterales; Asteraceae.